AGGAUCCAACUCAAGGCUUCAAUUAGAUUUGUGUCUGUUAACCGUUCAGUUGCAAUUACUUCCUCUCAGUCUAGAAUUGGCAAAGUCAUUGUAACUCGCCAUACACGGAAGCAUAACGUUUCACCGGUGAUCUGGUUUAUUCCUGGAUUUCGGCAGCCCCACAGAGAUGCUGCCUGACCUGCUGAGUGUUUCCAGUGUUUUCUGGCUUUGCUCCUGCCAUCCCAUUCCUUGCAACUCUCGGAUCAUCUUGUCCCUGUAAACCACCACAGAGUUAUUGCCCUCUAGUUUCAAGGACAGCUUCAAUCCCACUGUUAACAGAUUCUUGAAUGGUCUUCUUGUAUGAUGCAAUCCAGCCUGCUGAGUUCCUUCAGCAUUUUGCGUAUUGGAUGAAGUAGUGGUGUCAAGAAAACAACCUCUCCCUCCAUGUUGCAAAAACAAAGGAGCUGGUUGUGGAUUACAGGAGAAAUGGAGAUGGACUAGCCCCUAUUGACAUCAAUGGAUCUGAGGUUGAGAGGGUGAACAGCUUCGUUCCUCAGCAUAAACAUCACCAAGGACAUCAUGUGGUCUGUACACCUCAGCUGUGUGGUGAAAAAGGCACAACAGUGCUCUUUCACCUCAGCUGGUUGAGGAAGUUUGGUAUGGGCCCAAAUCCUAGGAAAUUUCUACAGGGGCACAAUUGAGAGCAUCCUGUCCGGCUUCAUCACUGCCUCAAUCUCAGGACUCUGCAGAGAGUGGUGUGGACAGUCCAGCGCAUCUGUAGCUGUGAACUUCUUAUGAUUCAGGACAUUUACAAGGAGAGCUGUGUAAAAGGGGCCUGUAGGAUCACUGGGGACCCAAGCCAACCCAGCCACAAUCUAUUCCAUCUGCUACCAUCCGGGAAACGGUACAACAGCAUAAAAGCCAGGACCAACAGGCUCCGGGACAGCUUCUUCCACCAGGCCAUCAGACUGAUGAACUCACACUGAUUUGAAUGUACUUUAUAUUACACUGACUG
Long non-coding RNA from Hypanus sabinus (Atlantic stingray), 994 nucleotides. RefSeq lists it as uncharacterized. The transcript is spliced from 3 exons. NCBI's taxonomy places the organism in Eukaryota, Metazoa, Chordata, Chondrichthyes, Myliobatiformes, Dasyatidae. The record is from RefSeq and is a predicted model, not a curated record.